RNAcentral lists this ribosomal RNA (253 nucleotides) under uncultured bacterium. RNAcentral describes it as "partial 16S ribosomal RNA". It matches the Rfam family "Bacterial small subunit ribosomal RNA", at positions 524 to 776 of the family's 1533-position model. The record is from RNAcentral.
UACGAAGGGGGCUAGCGUUGUUCGGAAUUACUGGGCGUAAAGCGCACGUAGGCGGACUAUUAAGUCAGGGGUGAAAUCCCGGGGCUCAACCCCGGAACUGCCUUUGAUACUGCUAGUCUCGAGUCCGGAAGAGGUGAGUGGAAUUCCGAGUGUAGAGGUGAAAUUCGUAGAUAUUCGGAGGAACACCAGUGGCGAAAGCGGCUUCCUGGUCCAGCACCGACGUUCAGGCACGAAAGCGUGGGGAGCAAACAGG